This 723-nucleotide long non-coding RNA is filed under the name Neogobius melanostomus (round goby). RNAcentral's name for it is "lncRNA (ENSNMLG00000019661.1)". Lineage: Eukaryota; Metazoa; Chordata; Actinopteri; Gobiiformes; Gobiidae. The record is from RNAcentral.
AUGGAGGAGAAAAUGCAAGUAAUAAACAGUCAAACCGAAAUAGAUUCUUAUGUAAAACAAGCAGAAGACGAGUCACACUCCAAGUUCGUCUGUAUAUCCGUGGACCGAGGCUUCAGUGACAAAGAUUGGCAGCCUUUACCCACUAACAGAGUGUACUGGCAGUGGUCGGGAGGAGGUUGGACGCCAUCCAUUGAAUUCACCGGGGUCCCCUUUAUGUUUGUUGGGGGCAAGAGACUCGGGUGUUAUCGAGGCAAAGACCGCGCAGUGGCCCAGAAGAAGAAAUAUGCAGAGGAGAAGGCCAAAAGGAUGAUGGGGGAAGACUACAGCACUUUAAGCCACAUGUCUCGUUCACAACAUACUAAAAAAGUGGGAUGUCCCGCCACAAUAUCCAUCAGCAAGAUUGCAAUGUUUCCUAAAUUCAAGCUCAGCGACAACAGGGAGAGGACUCGGAAGAGAACUUCAAAGGCACUGAGACUGGCUUUACAAAAAGACCCAGUGGUUUGGGAGAGCAGCUUUGUCAUCACACACCACAGUGAGCACAGUAUUUCUUAACAUUCAGUAAACACGUGAAUAUAAAACACUAGACAGAUCUCACGUAUGAACAUUUACACUGUCUACCACUUGAUGGCGCACUUUGCGCAUAAGUGAAGAGAUUGGUUUGCAAAUAGUCGUUUAGAAUGUGUCUGUGUAGAGUUAGAAAGGGGAGUUUUGGUAAUCCUGUGC